This is a long non-coding RNA of Ipomoea nil (Japanese morning glory), 442 nucleotides long. RefSeq lists it as uncharacterized. Lineage: Eukaryota; Viridiplantae; Streptophyta; Magnoliopsida; Solanales; Convolvulaceae. The transcript has 2 exons. The record is from RefSeq and is a predicted model, not a curated record.
UGGUAUUCUUUUUGGAUUAUUCAUUGGAAGUCUCAUGCUCCUAACUAGAAAGCGAGAAUUCAUUACAAGAUUUAUUGAAGAAGAAGCAUACAAACAUGUAAUGAAGAUCAAAGACAAGAAGAAUAAACUAGUUUUGCAUGUCAAUGGUAAGUAAUCCUGUUACAACUAUAUAUGUAUGUUACGUUUUUGUUUGGUAAGGCAUAAUUAAACAAGUCCAGAUCAGAUGCAUGAACGAAUAAUUGGUGAAGUGUGUUUACUAUCUUUUGCAGCUCGAUUCUCUCCAAAUGACAAAGACUCGGAAAGAGGAUGAUGUUAAAGAAGCAUUUUGGAUUGUUGUAAUAUGAUACGUGUUGCCACAUAUAUGUUAAUCUGAGUUGUAUGAUUUUGGUAUGAUUCCAAAUGUUCAAUUCAGGCAUGAUGAAUACUGUCUUUGUUAGUGUCU